Molecule: ribosomal RNA, 484 nt
Filed under: uncultured bacterium
Lineage: Bacteria
Description: partial 16S ribosomal RNA
Rfam family: Bacterial small subunit ribosomal RNA
Source: RNAcentral
AUUGAACGCUGGCGGCAUGCUUUACACAUGCAAGUCGAACGGCAGCGCGGGCUUCGGCCUGGCGGCGAGUGGCGAACGGGUGAGUAAUGCAUCGGAACGUGCCCAGUAGUGGGGGAUAGCCCGGCGAAAGCCGGAUUAAUACCGCAUACGACCUGAGGGUGAAAGCGGGGGACCGAAAGGCCUCGCGCUAUGGGAGCGGCUGAUGUCGGAUUAGCUAGUUGGUGGGGUAAAGGCUUACCAAGGCGACGAUCCGUAGCUGGUCUGAGAGGACGACCAGCCACACUGGGAGUGAGACACGGCCCAGACUCCUACGGGAGGCAGCAGUGGGGAAUUUUGGACAAUGGGGGCAACCCUGAUCCAGCCAUGCCGCGUGCGGGAAGAAGGCCUUCGGGUUGUAAACCGCUUUUGUUCGGGAAGAAAUCCUCUGGGCUAAUACCCCGGGGGGAUGACGGUACCGGAAGAAUAAGCACCGGCUAACUACGUG